UACAGAGGGGGCAAGCGUUAUUCGGAAUUAUUGGGCGUAAAGGGCGCGUAGGCGGCUUGGCAAGUGGAUGGUGAAAUCCCUCGGCUUAACCGAGGAACUGCCGUCCAAACUGCUUCGCUUGAGACCGGGAGAGGUGAGUGGAAUUCCCAGUGUAGCGGUGAAAUGCGUAGAUAUUGGGAGGAAUUCCUGAGGAGACGGCGACCACCGGGAUCUACACUGACGCUGAGGUGCGAAAGCGUGGGUAGCAAACAGG
This 253-nucleotide ribosomal RNA is filed under the name uncultured bacterium. RNAcentral's name for it is "partial 16S ribosomal RNA". It matches the Rfam family "Bacterial small subunit ribosomal RNA", at positions 524 to 776 of the family's 1533-position model. The record is from RNAcentral.